This is a non-coding RNA of Mycena floridula, 92 nucleotides long. The record is from the annotation of a GenBank genome assembly. NCBI's taxonomy places the organism in Eukaryota, Fungi, Basidiomycota, Agaricomycetes, Agaricales, Mycenaceae.
GCCCGUUUAGCUCAGUGGUAGAGCGCGCCACUCGUAGUUCUGCUUCGAGGAUGUAUAUGGUGAGGUCGCUAGUUCAAUCCUGGCAGUGGGCA